Molecule: long non-coding RNA, 340 nt
Organism: Syngnathus acus (greater pipefish)
Lineage: Eukaryota; Metazoa; Chordata; Actinopteri; Syngnathiformes; Syngnathidae
Exons: 2
Source: RefSeq, a predicted model, not a curated record
AGUUGUGACUUUGAGUUGCAAACUGAACUGUGGAGAAAAACACAAGUGCAAUGAAUGCUGCGAUUCCAUUUGAGACAAUUGUCACUCUUGAAAGGACAAAAGGCUCCGUUGCGCCGGACUGUUUGCAAAGUGUGUGCGGUUUGAGUGGAGGCGUGCGCCUGCGGAUGCAGUUCUGUUCUUAUCUGACAUCAGCAGCCCAGGGCGGGCGUGCAGAAGCGAGUACAAGCUCGUAUCAACUUCUCGAUGUAUAAAGUCUGGCAGAAAUGCUUUGGAAAGUGAAACUCGACAAACAUGCCAGUCAACCAACCCACGAAAAAAAAAAUAAUAAUAAAAAUAAAAU